Pelobates cultripes (western spadefoot toad) is the source of this 3710-nucleotide non-coding RNA. The record is from the annotation of a GenBank genome assembly. NCBI's taxonomy places the organism in Eukaryota, Metazoa, Chordata, Amphibia, Anura, Pelobatidae.
AUUUAAGAUAUCAACCUUUUUGUUUAAAAUUAAACACUUGGUGACAAAAGCUUUCCAACAUUCUUUCAAAUCCGUGCAAUCAAGAAACUUCAGAAAUUUAUUUUAUUUUUCUUUCCUAUGGUAAUCUCGAUGCCUUAGGAAAUUUAUUGGCAUUUCUAUCACUUGGUAAAGAUUUGUGGGAUAAAGAUGUUUCUGAUGUUUUGGAACUUGUAAAAAUAUGUAAUUAAAUUGGUCCCAUUUUUAUUCAUACUUUUUUUUUGUAUUUCAUGUUUGUUAAUUUCUCUUCUCCCCAUAAAGCAAGGAAUCCUGAAAUGACACUAAAUUAAUCAUUACCAAGUGAGAGUGCAACGAGGGCAAAGUCUCCAAUGUAGGGAUACCAUGUAGAUAAGUUCCUUGUCCAACCAUUUUAUUGUUAAAAUUGCCUUUCAUUUGAUGGAUCUUAUUUAGAAUAUAGAUGUAAAACGAGUCUCUCCUGAAAAUAUAAUUUUCUUAUUUUUAAAAAAAUUUUGGUCAACUAUUUUGACAUUUGUUCUACCCAUUUGUGUCCUAAAUAUUAUUUUAGAUCCAUAAACAAACUAUUCUAAAAUCAAUUGGUAGGUGCCAGUAAAGCAAGUAAGAUUAUUUUAAAACGGUCACAUCCAACUAAAAACUAAUUUUGGAUCAAAAAUGAGUUUGCAUUUUGAUUAGUGUUAGAUGUUCUGCCCAAUCUUUCCAUGCAGUUUAUGCUUAAAGUAAAUGUCCAGUUUUUACAGGUGCUUUUGUGCCCUUAGUGGGCAGAUUAUUUUUCUAUCCGCAGAUUGUGCUGUAAAAUCUCAGAGGUUCAUACCUCCUAGGUUAAGAACCAUGUGCUAUUUUAUUGGGUGCCCAGCGGUUGCUAGAGGUAUAUAAUACAGAUCAGAUCCCAGGCAACAGCCUACACUCAACUGAUUACUGCUACUGCCUUCCCCAGGAUAAUGGAGAUUCACGGAAAGUGCCUAGUAAAAUGCUUUUUCAGAAUAUUACAAUUGAAGAAUUAAUCACUGAGCUAAUUUUAUAACAAAAUAAGUCACCAAGCUAAUGCCAUGUACUUUAUUUGGUCCCUAUCUUUAGAUCACGGUUUACACGUGUAAAUUUAAUUCCAUUAUACUACAGUGUUUUUCUUUUAAUGUUUUUGGUGUUCUGGCCAUUUCCAAACUUACAGAAACACACUCUAAAUGUUGGCACCUGUUUUUAAUAGGAGCUGGAGCCCCAUAGUAGGAUUGUGCAUGCAUUUUAACCUCUAAGAUUGAGACCUGCCUAUAAGUAAUUGUUUUGUCUGCAAGUGUAACCUGUGCUGGUAGAGGUUGCAGUUUUGUAGAGGUGGUUAAUCUCAGCAACUGCUUAGUUUUAACCAUCCAGUUUUAACAUAAUAAUGAGCUUUUUAUUUAAAGAAAGAGCAGUGCAGAAUGAGUUUAACAUAUUUAAACAGUGAAAAAUGUUUCACUCAAUAAAAAUAUGUUGUUUUUUUUGUUUUUUGUUUUUUUAAACCGGUCACCUGCAGUCUUUUACAUUAAGUGUGUGGUCAUAGUACUUCACUGGGCCAAUGCAAAGUAGAGAGGGUGUGCUUGUGUGCAAGAUUAACUUUUAUGCUCCUAGUUGCAACUUUCACUGCCUGGUAGACUUCUAUUCAGCACAUUACAACAGGAGAGCUAGAAAUAGUUCUAAAAUUAGAAGCUUUGGACUCUAAAUGGUAACUGUUUUUUGUUUUUGUGUUAUUGGCACGUUGAUUUGUUUUACAAUAGCUAAAACAAAACAUUGGUAAUUGAAAACAAGCAUGUUGGCUGUAAUUUCAUAAACCUGUAGUAGUUGUACAUUAAGUACUUUCAGUUUGAAGCUAAAUAAAUUCAUGUUUUCUUUAUCUGCCUUGUAGUCCACAUGCAAAUUGCAGCAUUAUUUAACUUCCAGAAAACAGUUUGGCAGCACAAGAUGUGCCUAGUAAAAAGUUCUUUCCAGUAAGCUAUUUUCUGUGACGUCCAAGAAGUAGAAACACUCAAGAACUAAUUUAAUGCCAAGUAUGUGAGCAAUACUCAUGUAAUCAAUUCAUAGGCAGGAUAAGAUAUUUUAAAACAUUUGCAGCACUCUAACAUUACUAAUAUAGGUUAUUGUAGUAGUCCUAGUGCCGAGAGUGUGUUUGUGCUGUCCCCUUGAUUUCUGUGAUACCUCAGUUGAUUGGUUUAACAUACGCCAGGCUUUUCCAACUUCAGUCAGUUCCCCUGGCUGUGACUCAAUUAAUGCACUUCUACACUAGUUGAGUGCCAAAGCGAGGCCAUGUUUAAGGAUCAAGGAAAUCAGGACACAUAUUACUGACUCUUUGCACCAUGAUCACUACAACGAGCUCUAGUAGUUACAGAGCUUACAUUGCACCUUAAAAAAAAAAAAAAAAAAGUACUUCCUGUCCAUAUUUUGAAAUUGGCUUAGCUAGAAUAUAUAAAAGAAAAUUUGUAUGUUUUAUGGUUUUCAAUGGCCACCUUAAAAAUAUUCACUUGUUUAAAACUAGUUAUGUUUGAGUCCAUUAUUUUGGUAAUUCUAUUGAAUGCUUUUAUUAACACAGUAUACCUCAUGUAGGUACCAUAUAAUACCUUUAUACAACAAAGACCCCCCCCCCCCAACCUUGUCAUUUAUUUUUAUUGGCUAAUAUAUUUACAGUAUACAACCUUAAUAGAAGCAGGAUUAGGAUUUUGUAGUGACAUGGAUAUUACUAUGGAAAAUGUUUUUAGGGAAUGAACAAUAUCUGCCUAUAAAGAGAGGGUUUUAAAUGUUUGUACCUUUUUGUGUGGUUUUUCUUUUCCUCCAAGGGCUAAUUUUACUUGCAAACAAAUAUAAUUUUAAUAUAUUUUUAAAUAAAUGUAAUGCAGUGGCUCUUUCCUUUAUGCUGGAUUUCACAGUGACUGCAAGCUAUUUUUUUUUUUUUUUUGCCUUUUUAUGAAAUUGAUGCUUUAAAAACUAUUUUUUUAGAAGACCCCCUCCCCCAAAUAAAUUAAUAUUUAGGUUUAAAAGCCAAUUGCAUUGUGGUACUUUUUUAUUUUUUUUAUUUAUUUGAAAAAUGUUAAACUCCUGCCUAUGUUUAGCGUUCAAACCAAAUGGUCCUACAGUAUGAAUUUUGUAGAUAUCCGGGACAUGUCUUAUACUUGAGUAACAUAUCUAAUUAGUUUUGUUUCCUUUAUUCUACUUUUUUUCCUAGGUGUGAUACAAAAUAUUUCCGUACUGAUAUUGGUAAAUCAAGUAUACUACCAGUGGGUCAUGCAAUGCAUUUAUUUAUAUAUUGGCUUCUGCAACGAUUGUGUGACAGGAAUUUCACUAAUCUCUCUAAGGCAGGCAGAUGCAAUGUUACAUUUUAAAAAUUUUUUAUUAGGAUGCCUGGGAACAUUUGAGAGUUUGUAGAGUAAAUGAAUCUCUAAUGCAACAGAUCUGCUUACCACUACAUAUUUAAACACAUUGGGGUAAAAAUUUAAUCUGGGCCACACUUUGUAAAUUUAUAUUCUUCAGUGGACACGUUUGUCCCACUGUCUUGGUUAUUUGGUCCAAGUGUAUUUUAUUUUUUUGCUUGUUUUCUUUUCUUUCCCCACCUAACGCAAAAUGAAGAAGAACAAAUAUUUUUGCUGCCAAGUGCCAUAAAUAGAAUUGUACAGAAUGUGGUUAAGGAAAUGAAAAGUUUAUACUUUAAAAAGAAAAUAAAUUAUUCACAAAGCCUU